CGCAAGUUACCAACCAACCAAUCUGUGGAGACUACUGGACGCAUUACUGGCUUGGGAAGGUCAUGCAGCCUCAAUAUUAUGGAAGGUUUAGCUUUGCAUUACACAAAACAUUAAUUUAAUACCAAAAGAAAACCAAACGCAACCCAACCGAAAGGGAGAUGAGCCUGUAAGCCCUUAAGAUCAGACUGACUCAUUACCACCUGCUGAAAUGGUUGUUAGGCAGUCAAGUCCAGAUGGAGAGUAAACAGGUAGAAGUGGGAGCAGCAGCCCUGAGGCAGGAAAUAGAUGUGGAAGCUGCUAAUGCACAGUUUGCUAUUAAAUGUGCCACCUGUGAGUUA
Micropterus dolomieu (smallmouth bass) is the source of this 338-nucleotide long non-coding RNA. RefSeq lists it as uncharacterized. The record is from RefSeq and is a predicted model, not a curated record. Lineage: Eukaryota; Metazoa; Chordata; Actinopteri; Centrarchiformes; Centrarchidae. The transcript is spliced from 3 exons.